GAUGAACGCUGGCGGCGUGCUUAACACAUGCAAGUCGAACGAAGCAACAGGAAGUUUUCGGACAGAAUGUUGACUGAGUGGCGGACGGGUGAGUAACGCGUGGGUAACCUGCCUUGUACAGGGGGACAACAGUUAGAAAUGACUGCUAAUACCGCAUAACCCGCUAGGGCCGCAUGGCCCAGACGGAAAAGAUUUAUCGGUACAAGAUGGACCCGCGUCUGAUUAGCUAGUUGGUGAGGUAACGGCCCACCAAGGCGACGAUCAGUAGCCGAACUGAGAGGUUGACCGGCCACAUUGGGACUGAGACACGGCCCAAACUCCUACGGGAGGCAGCAGUGGGGGAAUAUUGCACAAUGGGGGAAACCCUGAUGCAGCGACGCCGCGUGAGUGAAGAAGUAUUUCGGUAUGUAAAGCUCUAUCAGCAGGGAAGAAAAUGACGGUACCUGACUAAGAAGCCCCGGCUAACUACGUG
Molecule: ribosomal RNA, 472 nt
Filed under: uncultured bacterium
Lineage: Bacteria
Description: bacterial SSU rRNA
Rfam family: Bacterial small subunit ribosomal RNA
Source: RNAcentral